RNAcentral lists this ribosomal RNA (510 nucleotides) under uncultured bacterium. Its description in RNAcentral is "partial 16S ribosomal RNA". It matches the Rfam family "Bacterial small subunit ribosomal RNA", at positions 28 to 507 of the family's 1533-position model. The record is from RNAcentral.
GACGAACGCUGGCGGCGUGCUUAACACAUGCAAGUCGAACGAAGAGCGAUGGAAGCUUGCUUCUAUCAAUCUUAGUGGCGAACGGGUGAGUAACGCGUAAUCAACCUGCCCUUCAGAGGGGGACAACAGUUGGAAACGACUGCUAAUACCGCAUACGAUCUGACCUCGGCAUCGAGGAUAGAUGAAAGGUGGCCUCUACAUGUAAGCUAUCACUGAAGGAGGGGAUUGCGUCUGAUUAGCUAGUUGGAGGGGUAACGGCCCACCAAGGCGAUGAUCAGUAGCAGGUCUGAGAGGAUGAACGGCCACAUUGGGACUGAGACACGGCCCAGGCUCCUACGGGAGGCAGCAGUGGGGAAUCUUCCGCAAUGGACGAAAGUCUGACGGAGCAACGCCGCGUGAGUGAUGACGGCCUUCGGGUUGUAAAGCUCUGUUAAUCGGGACGAAAGGCCUUUUUGCGAAUAGUGAGAAGGAUUGACGGUACCGGAAUAGAAAGCCACGGCUAACUACGUG